This 320-nucleotide ribosomal RNA is filed under the name uncultured eukaryote. RNAcentral's name for it is "partial 18S ribosomal RNA". It matches the Rfam family "Eukaryotic small subunit ribosomal RNA", at positions 1470 to 1796 of the family's 1831-position model. The record is from RNAcentral.
CCCUUAGAUGUUCUGGGCUGCACGCGUGUUACAAUCGGGAGUACAACAAGAUUGCAAAUCCUAGUGGAUGAGUGGUUCUUCGAAAUUUUCUGAAGACUGGGAUAGUUGAUUGAAAUUAUUCAACUCAAACGAGGAAUUCCUUGUAAUUGUAAUUCAUUAUAUUGUAAUGAAUACGCCCCUGCCCUUUGUACACACCGCCCGUCGCUCCUACCGAUUGAACGAUCCGGUGAAUUAUUUGGAGUAGCUCUGGAAGUUGCAGAACUUCCUAUGUCACGAAAUUUUGUAAACCUUAUCGUUUAGAGGAAGGAAAAGUCGUAACA